RNAcentral lists this long non-coding RNA (202 nucleotides) under Elaeis guineensis (African oil palm). RNAcentral describes it as "long non-coding RNA (EGUI_LNC010891)". Lineage: Eukaryota; Viridiplantae; Streptophyta; Magnoliopsida; Arecales; Arecaceae. The record is from RNAcentral.
GGGGGCGGGGGGCUGGACGGCGGUACACUAGGAGGAAGUUUCUUAGCAGGCAUGGAACAAGUUCCUCUCCUUCCUGGUGAAGUUCUAUUACUCUUUUACCAUGGAAAGGAUAUCCAUCAAUGCAAAGUUUUUUAUCUUUACAUUUUGCUAAUCUCUUAUAUGUGAAAAUUGCUUAUCCCUUUGCCUUAUGGCUUGGGAUUAG